AUCCUAGCUUUAGCAGUACAUGUCCUAAAAUUAGAACCAUAGGGAGAUUAGCAAGGCCCCUACACAAGGAUGACAUGAAAAUUCAUGAAGAAUUCAUGCUUCAU
Neogale vison (American mink) is the source of this 104-nucleotide small nuclear RNA. The record is from Ensembl. NCBI's taxonomy places the organism in Eukaryota, Metazoa, Chordata, Mammalia, Carnivora, Mustelidae.